Neomonachus schauinslandi (Hawaiian monk seal) is the source of this 100-nucleotide long non-coding RNA. RefSeq lists it as uncharacterized. NCBI's taxonomy places the organism in Eukaryota, Metazoa, Chordata, Mammalia, Carnivora, Phocidae. The transcript is spliced from 3 exons. The record is from RefSeq and is a predicted model, not a curated record.
AGCAGCCAAACAGAUAUAGUCAGAUCCAAAUCACAGGAAAGCACCCAAACACAUAACAGUAGUAACUAAUAAUUCCUUCAGAGGACAAUGGAUAUUACAG